GGGGGCGUGGUGGAAUGGUAUACACAAGGGACUUAAAAUCCCUCGCCGGAAAUGGCUUACGGGUUCGAGUCCCGUCGCCCCUACCA
RNAcentral lists this transfer RNA (86 nucleotides) under Halocynthiibacter sp. SDUM655004. Its description in RNAcentral is "tRNA-Leu". It matches the Rfam family "tRNA". Rfam says of the family: Transfer RNA (tRNA) molecules are approximately 80 nucleotides in length. Their secondary structure includes four short double-helical elements and three loops (D, anti-codon, and T loops). The record is from RNAcentral. Lineage: Bacteria; Pseudomonadati; Pseudomonadota; Alphaproteobacteria; Rhodobacterales; Paracoccaceae. RNAcentral also lists the same sequence under 2 other names.